GUUUUUUUAGAAUCCCUUAAUUUUUAAAAUAUUAAUGAAACAGCUGCGAGAUAUCUUGUACUAUUCCAGAACAUCUUCAUGCAUUCUUAGAUACACAUUAGAUACACAUUAAGUGUGAAUAUACAGAUUUUUGACUAAUCAUGGAUACGAAUAUUAGUUAACAGAACUAAAAUUUGGUGACAUAGGUCACAUUCCAUAAUCCUGUAAAUAAGCCAGCUAUGCUCUGAUGGCAUUUUACCUGGGGGGGAGGGGGGGGGGAAAGAGGUGCUUUGUACAGUUUUUCCUUAAGGUAAUGCACAAAAUACAAGUUAUACAUAUGCUGUUUUAUAGUCCUAGACAUACCCCCAUAGCAUCUCACAUGGCCAUGAGUUCCCUCACAUGGCCGUGGAAGCUAGGCAGUACACAGGGAAGUACAUAGGAAGUAUAGGGAAGUACUGAGACCACAGCUAAGAGUCAAAAUUAAAUAAGUUUCAUCAGUUUUAAUGGGUGUAUUUGUAAUUUAAGGUACUAUUUUCUUUUUUUUUCUUGUGCAUUUAACUGCCCAACCAAACAGUUGCUUUCAAUUAAUAGCUGAUCAGAUUUUAUGUUCAAUUUAAAUCCAACAUCUUUAAAUAGCUCUAACAUAGAGUUCAAAUUGCAAUUGCCAGCAAGCAGUUCUCACUAAGACUCAUUCACACUCACUCCAAAUAGUAUUUUGGGAUGCUAACAGAGAUUGAGAGCAUUCCUUUCUCAUUCUAUUUCAAUUUUGACAUCUGUUUGUUUGUUACCUUUUGCAUUGCCUGGCCUCCAUUUGGAAAUAGACUACAGAAACUGCAGCCACAGCAUCCCACCAGUACACAAGCAGUACCUGUGCAGAAGCUGUUCACCGCCCACAGAGGGGAAGGUGAAGCUAGCAGCAACCUGCAUGUAUGUCAAGAGCAGAAGAACAGACCAAAGUGAGCACUCUGUACUGCCACUCCAGCCAGGGAAAAAGAAGAAAGAAAAUAGAGAAACUACACAUGAAUCCCACACAGGAAAAGACCCUCCUGAUCUGCAGUGUUCUACUGAGUCAUUCUGUUCAGAAUAUAUUUGCAGUUUCUCUGGUAAGAUGCUAUUUUCCUUCUCAACACAAAAAUGGCUGCAGGCUUUUAUUCUUGUACUCACCACACUCGUACUUAACCUCUUUGACCAAGAUUUCCUACCUUUCAUUUUUCCUAGAGCAGGCUAGGAUGCCUUACCUCCUCUAUCACUUAAUAGAACUACUGCACAAACACACUUGGUCCAGGGCUUCCAAGGAAAAAGGUGCACAUCUGUGUUGCUGUACCUCCCUUCAGCAAGUCUGACAGUUGCUGCUUAAGCUUCCAGUAUUGAAUGUGGUAAUCCCCUUGUCUUUAAGUUUGCUUCUAAAAUAUGAUUUAGUGAACCUUUUUCUUCUCGUCUGCCAGUAACGGUUGUCAAAGUUCUUCAUGACCUUCUCCAAAUUAAUUCUUGCUAGCAUUCUUGUAAGUCACAUCUCACUCAGCAUGAGAUUGACACUAUUAGGUCAUAUGCUGCAAUCUUCUGCAGUCUUCCUUAUUUUUAUUUUAGUCUUGCAUGAAGCACGUAGGGACAUGUGUUGGCAGAAAAGCUGGGGUACUGUGCAUUAAGGAGUGUGCACAGGAUUUGUCUCAUAGAUCUGAAAACAGAAGGGGUCUGGCGAAGUGAGUAUUGCCAGUCAUAAACCUAAAAAAUAACACUAGGACAGAAAACAUAGUGAUAUUUUUAAAAGAUGUAGGGCCAAUGAAAGGGGUGGGUGGCUUUCUUCUAUCUUGUGGCUUCAUCUUUCUUUCAGGUUGAUUUGGGUCAUAUUUUAAAAUUCUUUCAGCAAUCAUAAUGGCCAAAACCGUACUCUUUUGUAACAUCUUCUCUCUCAUUCUCUCUUUUAAUUUGGAUUUUUAUUCUUGAAACUCUUGCACAAUCAUUGCUUGCCAGCAUCCAAGUGCUGGCAACAACACAAAACAAGAGAAAUUUCCUGGGUUUUAUAGUAACUGGCAAAGCUAUUCUCCAGGGAGAGGCAUUAGCCCUGUGCAUAAAGCUUGGAUUUCAUAUAAAACAACCCAGUUAAAUAUGCUGUCAUUUUCAUGUAUGUCUUUAUUAGCAUAGCACAAUGUUUCUUUUGAUGCUUUAAAUAUUUUCAGACAUCCUCCCAUUUAAACUUAUAAUUCUCUGUUAUUUAUGUUAAACGUUACACCAAUUUUCUUGAGGCUGAGUCAUAUUUGCCUGCAGUUGUAGCUCUGUAUUUCAUCAUCACCAGUUAGGGUUGUCUACAGCAGCACAUUACUUAAAUCUAGAUGAAAGAUAUAA
RNAcentral lists this long non-coding RNA (2322 nucleotides) under Anas platyrhynchos platyrhynchos (common mallard). Its description in RNAcentral is "lncRNA (ENSAPLG00000023480.1)". The record is from RNAcentral. Lineage: Eukaryota; Metazoa; Chordata; Aves; Anseriformes; Anatidae.